RNAcentral lists this long non-coding RNA (202 nucleotides) under Castor canadensis (American beaver). Its description in RNAcentral is "Rhabdomyosarcoma 2 associated transcript conserved region 6 (ENSCCNG00000015735.1)". It matches the Rfam family "Rhabdomyosarcoma 2 associated transcript conserved region 6". The record is from RNAcentral. Lineage: Eukaryota; Metazoa; Chordata; Mammalia; Rodentia; Castoridae.
UGGUGACUGAUCUCACCUGCCAGCUGGCUAAUAUCAUAAUUAACAAAGUUGCUACUACAUCUGCAAAGUUUAAUCAAAAAAUUACCACCAAUAUGAUGACAUUGCCACAAAGAUCACAAAGGACACAGAGUCGACUUUUGCUCAAGGUGGAACGGCAGAGCUGUGAAGGCAAGACGAGAAAUUGUGAACUUGCUCAAUGUAA